UGAAGGAAUACAUGCACCCUGAUAUUUAUAGCAGCAUUAUUAACAAUAGCCCAAUUAUGGAAAAAGCACAAGUCUAUCGCCUGAGGAAUGGAUAAAGAAGCUGUGGGGUCACCACUGGCUUAACCAGAAACCAGAAGACAGGGAACCUGCAGAUGCAGACCACAGACUUCUGGAGAAUGAAAGAAAUUACUUCUGUUGGCAAAAAGACAGUUUUCAUUGUGGCUACCGAGUGGGCCAGUGCCGAGCGCUAGGAGGGUAAGGACCUUCCAUCCUCCUCCACCGCCCAGCGACUGUGAUGCCAUCACAGGGACACUGUACCUCCACCUUGGGGCAGCGAUCUGGAAGGUGAAGGGCCAUCACUUGAGUUUUUAAGAGUCAAGUUCUGCAAAGCAGGGUAGUUGGCCUUCGUGUUCUGACGCACACAUACUCGGCCAGCUUGACCUGGGACCAGUAGCCUCAGAAUGCACAGGUGGACCACUCUGUCCUUGGACUUGUUGGGCACACAGGAGGCUGUUCCCCAGCGUCUUCAGAAGUGUUUUCAAAUGACGCGCCCGUGAAGUACUUUCCGGAUUCGUUUCUCCUCAUUUGUAGCGUGUCCAUUUGAUAUGCUGCUCUGGUUUAUCGUUGCGAGCCUCCUUAGGUUAGGAGCUCACAAAGGAAAGUUUUGUGUUCGAGUUUUAUGCUCAAUGGAUUUUUAUUGACCUGCAACUAACCUGAGCUUUCUUCCACCGAUUUCAAAGUUAACCACAUGGCACAGUCACAGACACUGAGAGGCUGCCUGGAACUCGGGGUCCUCGCCCAAUGCCUACAUGAGAGAUGGCACCUGUUGCUCUCCUUCCUUCCUUGCUCUUUCCUUUCCCAUCGUCACAUCCUGGAACAUAGAGACUUACCCUUGUUCCUGCACCUCAGCUAGGCUGAUAACCACUUCCUCCCUCGUCUGCUGGAUGGUCAGUCAAGGAGAUCGAUUGAUCGGCUUCCCGAUUUGGUAACAGAGGCGAGGAUCACCAACAGAAAUGAAAACGUGUCGGGACGCCUGGGUGGCUCAGUGGUUGACUGUCUGCCUUUGGCCCAGGGUGUGAUCCCGGGAUCCAGGAUCGAGUCUCACAUCGCAGGGAGCCUGCUUU
Molecule: long non-coding RNA, 1124 nt
Organism: Canis lupus familiaris (dog)
Lineage: Eukaryota; Metazoa; Chordata; Mammalia; Carnivora; Canidae
Exons: 3
Source: RefSeq, a predicted model, not a curated record